GUGCGAAAGCGUGGGUAGCAAACAGGAUUAGAUACCCUGGUAGUCCACGCCGUAAACGAUGUCAACUAGCCGUUGGGUCCCUUGAGGACUUAGUGGCGCAGCUAACGCAAUAAGUUGACCGCCUGGGGAGUACGGCCGCAAGGUUAAAACUCAAAUGAAUUGACGGGGGCCCGCACAAGCGGUGGAGCAUGUGGUUUAAUUCGAUGCAACGCGAAGAACCUUACCUACCCUUGACAUCCAGAGGACUUUCCAGAGAUGGAUUGGUGCCUUCGGGAACUCUGACACAGGUGCUGCAUGGCUGUCGUCAGCUCGUGUUGUGAAAUGUUGGGUUAAGUCCCGUAACGAGCGCAACCCCUAUCCUUAUUUGCCAGCGAGUAAUGUCGG
Molecule: ribosomal RNA, 384 nt
Filed under: Cobetia sp.
Lineage: Bacteria; Pseudomonadati; Pseudomonadota; Gammaproteobacteria; Oceanospirillales; Halomonadaceae
Description: bacterial SSU rRNA
Rfam family: Bacterial small subunit ribosomal RNA
Source: RNAcentral